GAUGAACGCUGGCGGCGUGCCUAAUACAUGCAAGUCGAGCGAACAGACGAGGAGCUUGCUCCUCUGACGUUAGCGGCGGACGGGUGAGUAACACGUGGAUAACCUACCUAUAAGACUGGGAUAACUUCGGGAAACCGGAGCUAAUACCGGAUAAUAUAUUGAACCGCAUGGUUCAAUAGUGAAAGACGGUUUUGCUGUCACUUAUAGAUGGAUCCGCGCCGCAUUAGCUAGUUGGUAAGGUAACGGCUUACCAAGGCAACGAUGCGUAGCCGACCUGAGAGGGUGAUCGGCCACACUGGAACUGAGACACGGUCCAGACUCCUACGGGAGGCAGCAGUAGGGAAUCUUCCGCAAUGGGCGAAAGCCUGACGGAGCAACGCCGCGUGAGCGAUGAAGGUCUUCGGAUCGUAAAACUCUGUUAUUAGGGAAGAACAAAUGUGUAAGUAACUAUGCACGUCUUGACGGUACCUAAUCAGAAAGCCACGGCUAACCACGUG
This 497-nucleotide ribosomal RNA is filed under the name uncultured bacterium. Its description in RNAcentral is "partial 16S ribosomal RNA". It matches the Rfam family "Bacterial small subunit ribosomal RNA", at positions 28 to 507 of the family's 1533-position model. The record is from RNAcentral.